This is a long non-coding RNA of Papaver somniferum (opium poppy), 1390 nucleotides long. RefSeq lists it as uncharacterized. The transcript has 5 exons. The record is from RefSeq and is a predicted model, not a curated record. Lineage: Eukaryota; Viridiplantae; Streptophyta; Magnoliopsida; Ranunculales; Papaveraceae.
UCUAUCAUCUUCUCCUAAUUGAAAAUUUCCCUUUCCCUAUUCCGUAACGUUUCAGGCUUUCCAUUCACUACCACAAAGUCUUUCGAAUCUAAUAGAACUUUUUGCAAAGAAAAAAAAACACUCAUCCCAGUUUUAAUUGCCGUCUCCAUAUAUAAAAUGUCUUAUACUGUUUGAGAAUCUCAUCCGUUCCACCAAUUGAACAUGUUUACGUACUCUGUCAAUGACGGUUUGCUUUUGGUUCAUGCAAAUUUCAUCAAUAAACCCAGUUGGGCUUAUAGCUAAAUCGUGGUUCACUGUCAGUUCAAUUUCAAUUAUUUCUUCAUCAAACCCUAAAUUAAUAUCAUAAAUUGUAUUCAAUCUGGGUGUGAUCCAUGUGUUGUAAAGGUUAUUGGUUUCAAAAUCUUUUCCAUUUAAGGUUUUUUAAACCCAGCCGAGUUAACUUCAGCAAUGAGGGAAGCUUUUUUGGGAUGUGAUCCAACAAUUUUCUUGGCUCGGACUACUCUUUUUAAAAAAUGAAAGAUAAAUGAUUUUCAAGUUCUAGCAGAAGUUCAUCCGUAACAAACGAUGUAUACAAAUACUUGUAUGAUUGAGAGCAGGAGAGAAAACGUAAAGAAUGUAAAAGAAGGAAAAAUAGUUGAGGAAAAUUUGCUAAUUUGUUCAUUGGAAAGGAAAAUGAAGAUUAUUUUGCCAUGUGGUUGAGAGGUAGCAAAUGCCUUCAUGUGCAGUGCCACCACUACACAAGAAGGUCCUUGGUGAGGAUGGUGACCUUUGGUCCACCAAAUGUGAAACUAAAGUGGAUGUUCCUUUCUCCAGGUUCCUUCUCCGCUCUGAAUUCGAAGUAGAACGGUUCCUCCGUUUUUGUAUCUCUGUAGAGUUAGGUUUAUAAGAUGGUUCGCCCCCCUGCAUCCAAACUCUUGACCAGGUCAGGUGUAAACUAAAUUAUUUCAUCUUCCUCGCACUCCCUUUGGUCUUCCUCAUCCGUAGAACACUAGACUAUCAUUUCAUAUCAAACAAACUGUUAGAAGUUCCCUUUUAUCUAUAACUUUUCGGCAAUUCUGCACCAGCCCGUGAAUUUCCAAGUUACUCUGACCUCCAUCAGCAUGGAGCAGAACGUUGCAGCUACAGAGUCACCCAUCUUGACUGUCAUGGCCUCCCGUGCCACUGGAACGGAAGCAACCCUCUUUAGACAUAAUGAAUGCAUAUGAAGACCCCAGUAUCACGUUUUCCUGUUGUACUGUUUUAGUGUAACACUAUUUGUUUUAGAAACUGAAAUAUGAAUAUGAACCUAAGUCAGAGAAAUAGUAAUCUGUUAAUAUUGACCAUCAAAGAAAGUUGGGGGAGAAAAACAGAUUGGUUUUGAUUGAAAUUAAAUGCUGUAAUUUUUGUGUGA